CCGUCCGGGGGAUGAUGUAUUACUACAAGGCGCUCAAGAUGCUGGUCUUCCUGGAUUCUGCGUCGGAGAUGGACGU
Molecule: small nucleolar RNA, 76 nt
Organism: Nymphaea colorata (pocket water lily)
Lineage: Eukaryota; Viridiplantae; Streptophyta; Magnoliopsida; Nymphaeales; Nymphaeaceae
Product: small nucleolar RNA J33
Exons: 1
Source: RefSeq, a predicted model, not a curated record